GUGAGGAAUAUUGGUCAAUGGGCGGGAGCCUGAACCAGCCAAGCCGCGUGAGGGAAGACGGCCCUACGGGUUGUAAACCUCUUUUGCCGGGGAACAAAAGCGGCCACGUGUGGCCGCCUGCGUGUACCCGGAGAAAAAGCAUCGGCUAACUCCGUGCCAGCAGCCGCGGUAAUACGGAGGAUGCGAGCGUUAUCCGGAUUUAUUGGGUUUAAAGGGUGCGUAGGCGGCGGAUUAAGUCAGCGGUAAAAUAGCGGGGCUCAACCCCGUCGAGCCGUUGAAACUGGUUUGCUCGAGAUGGAGAGAAGCACGCGGAAUGCGCGGUGUAGCGGUGAAAUGCAUAGAUAUCGCGCAGAACUCCGAUUGCGAAGGCAGCGUGCCGGCUCCUUUCUGACGCUGAGGCACGAAAGCGUGGGUAUCGAACAGG
Molecule: ribosomal RNA, 424 nt
Filed under: uncultured bacterium
Lineage: Bacteria
Description: bacterial SSU rRNA
Rfam family: Bacterial small subunit ribosomal RNA
Source: RNAcentral